This is a long non-coding RNA of Homo sapiens (human), 307 nucleotides long. NCBI's taxonomy places the organism in Eukaryota, Metazoa, Chordata, Mammalia, Primates, Hominidae. The record is from Ensembl.
UAAUUUCCGUUGUAUUUUUAAUACACUGAUGCUAUUCUUACACAAAGUAAAAAGGCUGGGUAAGUUGUGGUGGCUCACACCUGUAAUUCCAGCAAUUUGGGAGGCCGAGAUUACAGGCAUGAGUCACUGCUCCCGGCGACCAGCCAAGACUUUUACUUUAUAAAGAUAUUUAUGAUGUUUUCUUUUCUUUUUACAGUACGCAUUGCAUUUAUAAUUGGAGAUACAAAAAAAGGUGACUGUUACUGUUUGACAGCAAGGCAGUAGUAUUAUCUUCAUCAAUAUUUGCAACUUAAUUCGCAGGAACCUG